This 341-nucleotide long non-coding RNA is filed under the name Elaeis guineensis (African oil palm). RNAcentral's name for it is "long non-coding RNA (EGUI_LNC071538)". The record is from RNAcentral. Lineage: Eukaryota; Viridiplantae; Streptophyta; Magnoliopsida; Arecales; Arecaceae.
UUGCAUGAAAUCUGAAUCUAUUGACAAUGUAAGUUCCAUAUCUAUGAACUAUUUUGAACGGUCCAACAGCCAAGCUUAGAAGAUCUUCACUUGCUUUGCCUUUAGCUUUAAGCUUUGAAACCUAUUUAAGAUUAAUAAAUUAAGCCAUUAUUAGCAUAAAUAAAAGUAACUUAAAGUAUUUACCUAUAUUAUAUGAUACCUACACGUUUAUAAAACCAAUCUAGAAAUUCUUUGUGAUGUCUAGCCAGGACAUUUCUUGAGCUCGCCUCUUCCAAUUCUUUUUUAUGCUCCCUAUGAAUGACAUAAUUAAUCAAUAAUAAAGAUGAUUGAAGUAGAAACAA